UACGUAGGGUGCAAGCGUUGUCCGGAAUUAUUGGGCGUAAAGAGCUCGUAGGCGGUCUGUCGCGUCUGCUGUGAAAACUCGGGGCUUAACCCCGGGCCUGCAGUGGGUACGGGCAGACUAGAGUGCGGUAGGGGAGACUGGAAUUCCUGGUGUAGCGGUGAAAUGCGUAGAGAUCAGGCGGAACACCCGUGCGAAGGCGGCCAGCUGGGCCGUCCCUGACGCUGAGGCGCGAAGGCGUGGGGAGCGGAAC
RNAcentral lists this ribosomal RNA (250 nucleotides) under uncultured bacterium. RNAcentral's name for it is "partial 16S ribosomal RNA". It matches the Rfam family "Bacterial small subunit ribosomal RNA", at positions 524 to 774 of the family's 1533-position model. The record is from RNAcentral.